CGCCCCCCAGGUGCUCUGGACGGGGCUCCCCUGCCCCAACUUCCACCUGCUGGUGGUUUGCGCCGCUCUCCUGGGGGGGCCCGGGGACGCCCCCCCCCCGCCGCGGGGCCCCCCCCGGGGAGCCCCCACCCCCCCGGGCCGGGACACCCCCCCCCCCGCCGCGGGGCCCCCCCCCGGGGACAGCGACAGCGACAGCGACAGCGACAGCGACAGCGACAGCGACGGGGGGAGCCCCCCCCCCCGGGCCGAGGCCGGCGCUGGACGCGGAGGAGCUGCUGAGCCGGGCCGAGGGGCUCUUCCUGCAGCUGGCGGCCGCCCCCGACCUGCCACCGGCCCUACAGGAGCUGCUGGGAUUGGGGGGGCCCCCCCCCGAGCCCCCCCCCCGAGCCCCCCCGGCGAGGCCGCCGCCCCCCCCGCAGCCGCCGCCCCCCCGAGAGCGCGCCGCCGCCCCCCCGCGGGGACACCCCCAUUUUAGCGGGGGGCCCCCCCAGCACCUUAAUAUGGGGGGGUCCUUCCCUCCCCCCGGGGUGGCCCCCGGACGCCUGGGUCCCCUCCCGGCUGCUGAUGGGGGGGGGACCCCAAAACUGGGGCCCCCCCAAAGCCGGGGGCGUCUCGGGGGGGCCCCCCUUGAGCUGCAUUAAAGUGUUGUCACCGCCAGAGCC
Molecule: non-coding RNA, 662 nt
Organism: Phalacrocorax carbo (great cormorant)
Lineage: Eukaryota; Metazoa; Chordata; Aves; Suliformes; Phalacrocoracidae
Source: RefSeq, a predicted model, not a curated record